Molecule: ribosomal RNA, 253 nt
Filed under: uncultured bacterium
Lineage: Bacteria
Description: partial 16S ribosomal RNA
Rfam family: Bacterial small subunit ribosomal RNA
Source: RNAcentral
UACGGAGGGUGCGAGCGUUGUCCGGAAUCAUUGGGCGUAAAGGGCGCGUAGGUGGCCCGGUCAGCGUGCGGUGAAAGCUCGGGGCUCAACCCCGAGUCGGCCGUGCGAACUGCUGGGCUUGAGCACUGUAGAGGCAGGCGGAAUUCCGGGUGUAGCGGUGGAAUGCGUGGAGAUCCGGAAGAACACCGGUGGCGAAGGCGGCCUGCUGGGCAGUGGCUGACACUGAGGCGCGACAGCGUGGGGAGCAAACAGG